This 1284-nucleotide long non-coding RNA is filed under the name Sinocyclocheilus grahami. RNAcentral's name for it is "lncRNA (ENSSGRG00000015395.1)". Lineage: Eukaryota; Metazoa; Chordata; Actinopteri; Cypriniformes; Cyprinidae. The record is from RNAcentral.
UUUAAUUUUAAAUGAUAAUAAAAUAUAUAAAUGUUAUCUUUUUUGUGUCUCACAGUGGAGGAAAUGACACAAUAUUCAUCUAUCUGGCAGAUCAUGGUGGUUCAGGCAUAUUUACUUUUCCUAACAGCACUCUUCACGCCCAUGAUUUCAUUGAAACAAUCAAGGAAAUGGCAAGAGAUAACAAGUUCUCAAAGAUGGUGAUAUACAUGGAAUCCUGUCAUUCCGGAUCGAUGUUCACCAAACUUCCUAACGACCUUCAUGGUAAGAAGGGGAAUUAUAUUAAACUAUAAUGAAAUUAUAUAUUUUAUAUAUAUAUACAUACACACACUGUGUUUUCUAGUGUAUGCUGUGACUGCAGCGAGAGCAGAUGAGAGCAGUUAUGCCUGUUAUUUUGACAUUAAGAGGGAGACCUUUCUCUCUGAUGAAUUCUCAGCUCUUUGGAUGUGCUACAUGGAAGCGGUUUGUCUUAGUGUGAUUUGAGUCAAAUAUAGAAUUAUGCUAUCAAAUAAGACUAUAAAUAAAAAACAUUUUAUUUCUCAGAAUGACCUUGAUAAUAAAACAUUCCGGGAUCAGUUUAGUUAUCUUCAGGAAGAGAUGACGAAGUCUCACUCCGGGCGUUUUGGGGACAUGAAAAUGGGUGAACAUCCAAUCAGUGAGUUUGUGAAUAACACCCCUCGAAGAGUUCGGGACGAGACAAGAGCUCAGCGGUUUGCGUUAACUCAUUUGACCUCUAACCAUGAAGUGCCAUUCAAAAUCUUGGAACACCGAAUUAGAACAGAAACUCAUACAGGCAGGAGACAACGUCUGAAAAGAAAACAUGAAGCUCUUCGUCAGGCUAAAGCUCAAAUUGAAGGAACAGUUGAAGCUAUCAGUCAGCAAUUUGGUUUUAAACAUGAUGAUUUGGAUGAAGAUUAUUGUAAGAUGGAUUUACGUGCACUCAAAAGUGUAGCUGAGCAUUUCAAGGCAACCUGUUUUGACUGGGACAAGGAAGAGAGUUUCACACAUUUCCAUAUCGCCUCGUCACACAUGCAUGUAUUUGCUUGUCUUUGUGCACAUGGAGUUGCAGCAGAGAGGUGUGUCCAUCACAAAGGCUGAAUCCUGACUGGCAGAGGAGGAGCUGGGGAUGGAGGAGGGUCAUUAGCUAUUGAGCAACGCGAAAACUGCUGAUAAUACUGAGGGACCUUAUAUAUGAAUGCUUAGACAGGUGUCACAUCCCUAUAGGUAGACGUCCCCUGCGUCCGACGAAACUGUCUAUAGCCCCGUAGCUGAGUUAGUGUUUGUUUG